GAGGUUUGAUCAUGGCUCAGAUUGAACGCUGGCGGCAUGCCUUACACAUGCAAGUCGAACGGCAGCACGGGAGCUUGCUCCUGGUGGCGAGUGACGAACGGGUGAGUAAUGCAUCGGAACGUAUCCUGGAGUGGGGGAUAACGUAGCGAAAGUUACGCUAAUACCGCAUAUUCUGUGAGCAGGAAAGCGGGGGACCUUCGGGCCUCGCGCUCUUGGAGCGGCCGAUGUCGGAUUAGCUAGUUGGUGAGGUAAAGGCUCACCAAGGCGACGAUCCGUAGCAGGUCUGAGAGGAUGAUCUGCCACACUGGAACUGAGACACGGUCCAGACUCCUACGAGAGGCAGCAGUGGGGAAUUUUGGACAAUGGGGGCAACCCUGAUCCAGCCAUGCCGCGUGAGUGAAGAAGGCCUCGGUUGUAAG
Molecule: ribosomal RNA, 419 nt
Filed under: bacterium enrichment culture clone ALO1_GLFRUDD03HAPZ5
Lineage: Bacteria
Description: bacterial SSU rRNA
Rfam family: Bacterial small subunit ribosomal RNA
Source: RNAcentral